UACGGAGGGUGCAAGCGUUACCCGGAAUCACUGGGCGUAAAGGGCGUGUAGGCGGGAUGUUAAGUCUGGCUUUAAAGACAGCGGCUCAACCGCUGGAAUGGGCUGGGUACUGGCGUUCUAGACCUCUGGAGAGAGAACUGGAAUUCCUGGUGUAGCGGUGGAAUGCGUAGAUACCAGGAGGAACACCAAUGGCGAAGGCAGGUUCUUGGACAGAAGGUGACGCUGAGGCGCGAAAGUGUGGGGAGCGAACCGG
This 253-nucleotide ribosomal RNA is filed under the name uncultured bacterium. Its description in RNAcentral is "partial 16S ribosomal RNA". It matches the Rfam family "Bacterial small subunit ribosomal RNA", at positions 524 to 776 of the family's 1533-position model. The record is from RNAcentral.